AGGGAGAAGAAAAUUCAUCAAAAAUAAAGCUUGGUCAAAGCAGAAGGCCAAAAAGGAAAGGAAGAAGAAGAUGAAUGCAAAGAGGAAAAAGGAUGAGGGUUCUGAUAUUGAUGAUGAGGACAUGGAGGAACUCCUUAAUGACACAAGGCUCUUGAAAAAAUUUAAAAAAGGUAAAAUCACAGAAGAAGAAUUUGAGAAGGGGCUGUUGACAAGUACCAAAAGAACAGUCCGGCUGACAGAGUCAGGUGUCUCGGACUCAGAAGAGGACAGUUGACCUGAGCCUCAGGUGAGGGCUACCUCACAGCUGGCCUCACAUUCCUACCCUUGCUGGAAGACUGUGGUUCAGACUGAGAGAAACCAAAGGACUGCACACACGAGCACAAGGAUCCUACCAGAAUCUCAGUGUAUUGAGUGUACAUAACAGAUCUCAGUAUUUAUUUUGAUUAAUUGUGCUUUUUCUGGGGUGACUUUUGUGCUUUAUUACUGACUUAAAGUGUAUAUAUAUAUGUAUGUAUGUAUGUAUUUUUCUCACUUUUAAGAAAACAGAUAAUAAAGUAUACUUGAUUUUAGGCCUUGUAAAUUUCUAAGUCACUUGACAUGCCCUGGCCUCCUCCCACCCCACACUUUGCAUUUCCUUUACAGCCCUACCAAGAGCACCCACAGGGGCAGAGGGGACUGUGUGUAGGGUUCUUUUUUCUCUUCUUUUCAUUGCAACAGGGCUACACCAU
RNAcentral lists this long non-coding RNA (728 nucleotides) under Rattus norvegicus (Norway rat). RNAcentral describes it as "long non-coding RNA NONRATT007942". The record is from RNAcentral. Lineage: Eukaryota; Metazoa; Chordata; Mammalia; Rodentia; Muridae.